AUCCCAUGAUGAGGACAGACGGCCACGUAUUCCUGCGGACGUUCCCAUGCUUCGGGAAUUGAUUCAUCCCUUGUCUGCUGAAAGCUUGAGAUCCUUCCACGAAGGGC
Molecule: non-coding RNA, 107 nt
Organism: Oryza nivara
Lineage: Eukaryota; Viridiplantae; Streptophyta; Magnoliopsida; Poales; Poaceae
Source: Rfam